GAUGAACGCUGGCGGCGUGCCUAAUACAUGCAAGUCGAGCGAACAGACGAGGAGCUUGCUCCUCUGACGUUAGCGGCGGACGGGUGAGUAACACGUGGAUAACCUACCUAUAAGACUGGGAUAACUUCGGGAAACCGGAGCUAAUACCGGAUAAUAUAUUGAACCGCAUGGUUCAAUAGUGAAAGAAGGUUUUGCUGUCACUUAUAGAUGGAUCCGCGCCGCAUUAGCUAGUUGGUAAGGUAACGGCUUACCAAGGCAACGAUGCGUAGCCGACCUGAGAGGGUGAUCGGCCACACUAGAACUGAGACACGGUCCAGACUCCUACGGGAGGCAGCAGUAGGGAAUCUUCCGCAAUGGGCGAAAGCUUGACGGAGCAACGCCGCGUGAGUGACGAAGGUCUUCGGAUCGUAAAACUCUGUUAUUAGGGAAGAACAAAUGUGUAAGUAACUAUGCACGUCUUGACGGUACCUAAUCAGAAAGCCACGGCUAACUACGUG
Molecule: ribosomal RNA, 497 nt
Filed under: uncultured bacterium
Lineage: Bacteria
Description: partial 16S ribosomal RNA
Rfam family: Bacterial small subunit ribosomal RNA
Source: RNAcentral